GCCGGGGCCGCACAAGCGGUGAGCAUGUGGUUUAAUUCGAAGCAACGCGAAGAACCUUACCAGGCCUUGACAUGCAGAGAACUUUCCAGAGAUGGAUUGGUGCCUUCGGGAACUCUGACACAGGUGCUGCAUGGCUGUCGUCAGCUCGUGUCGUGAGAUGUUGGGUUAGGUCCCGCAACGAGCGCAACCCUUGCCUUUAGUUGCCAGCAGUUCGGCUGGGCACUCUAAAGGGACUGCCGGUGUUAAACCGGAGGAAGGUGGGGAUGACGUCAAGUCCUCAUGGCCUUUAUGACCAGGGCUACACACGUACUACAAUGGCCGAUACAAAGGGCAGCGACACUGCGAGGUGAAGCCAAUCCCGUAAAAUCGGUCUCAGUCCGGAUUGGAGUCUGCAACUCGACUCCAUGAAGUUGGAAUCGCUAGUAAUCGUGGAUCAGCAUGCCACGGUGAAUACGUUCCCGGGCCUU
RNAcentral lists this ribosomal RNA (467 nucleotides) under uncultured Desulfobulbus sp. Its description in RNAcentral is "bacterial SSU rRNA". It matches the Rfam family "Bacterial small subunit ribosomal RNA", at positions 917 to 1381 of the family's 1533-position model. Lineage: Bacteria; Pseudomonadati; Thermodesulfobacteriota; Desulfobulbia; Desulfobulbales; Desulfobulbaceae. The record is from RNAcentral.